This 1517-nucleotide ribosomal RNA is filed under the name Mycolicibacterium moriokaense. Its description in RNAcentral is "bacterial SSU rRNA". It matches the Rfam family "Bacterial small subunit ribosomal RNA". The record is from RNAcentral. Lineage: Bacteria; Bacillati; Actinomycetota; Actinomycetes; Mycobacteriales; Mycobacteriaceae.
UUGGAGAGUUUGAUCCUGGCUCAGGACGAACGCUGGCGGCGUGCUUAACACAUGCAAGUCGAACGGAAAGGCCCUUUCGGGGGUACUCGAGUGGCGAACGGGUGAGUAACACGUGGGUGAUCUGCCCUGCACUUUGGGAUAAGCCUGGGAAACUGGGUCUAAUACCGAAUACACCCUGCUGGUCGCAUGGCCUGGUGGGGGAAAGCUUUUGCGGUGUGGGAUGGGCCCGCGGCCUAUCAGCUUGUUGGUGGGGUGAUGGCCUACCAAGGCGACGACGGGUAGCCGGCCUGAGAGGGUGUCCGGCCACACUGGGACUGAGAUACGGCCCAGACUCCUACGGGAGGCAGCAGUGGGGAAUAUUGCACAAUGGGCGCAAGCCUGAUGCAGCGACGCCGCGUGAGGGAUGACGGCCUUCGGGUUGUAAACCUCUUUCAGUACCGACGAAGCGCAAGUGACGGUAGGUACAGAAGAAGCACCGGCCAACUACGUGCCAGCAGCCGCGGUAAUACGUAGGGUGCGAGCGUUGUCCGGAAUUACUGGGCGUAAAGAGCUCGUAGGUGGUUUGUCGCGUUGUUCGUGAAAACUCACAGCUUAACUGUGGGCGUGCGGGCGAUACGGGCAGACUGGAGUACUGCAGGGGAGACUGGAAUUCCUGGUGUAGCGGUGGAAUGCGCAGAUAUCAGGAGGAACACCGGUGGCGAAGGCGGGUCUCUGGGCAGUAACUGACGCUGAGGAGCGAAAGCGUGGGGAGCGAACAGGAUUAGAUACCCUGGUAGUCCACGCCGUAAACGGUGGGUACUAGGUGUGGGUUUCCUUCCUUGGGAUCCGUGCCGUAGCUAACGCAUUAAGUACCCCGCCUGGGGAGUACGGCCGCAAGGCUAAAACUCAAAGGAAUUGACGGGGGCACAAGCGGCGGAGCAUGUGGAUUAAUUCGAUGCAACGCGAAGAACCUUACCUGGGUUUGACAUGCACAGGACGCCGGCAGAGAUGUCGGUUCCCUUGUGGCCUGUGUGCAGGUGGUGCAUGGCUGUCGUCAGCUCGUGUCGUGAGAUGUUGGGUUAAGUCCCGCAACGAGCGCAACCCUUGUCUCAUGUUGCCAGCGGGUAAUGCCGGGGACUCGUGAGAGACUGCCGGGGUCAACUCGGAGGAAGGUGGGGAUGACGUCAAGUCAUCAUGCCCCUUAUGUCCAGGGCUUCACACAUGCUACAAUGGCCGGUACAAAGGGCUGCGAUGCCGUGAGGUGGAGCGAAUCCUUUCAAAGCCGGUCUCAGUUCGGAUCGGGGUCUGCAACUCGACCCCGUGAAGUCGGAGUCGCUAGUAAUCGCAGAUCAGCAACGCUGCGGUGAAUACGUUCCCGGGCCUUGUACACACCGCCCGUCACGUCAUGAAAGUCGGUAACACCCGAAGCCGGUGGCCUAACCCCUUGUGGGAGGGAGCCGUCGAAGGUGGGAUCGGCGAUUGGGACGAAGUCGUAACAAGGUAGCCGUACCGGAAGGUGCGGCUGGAUCACCUCCUUU